GGGUUAAGGCGCACAUUCGCCACACAACAAUCGAAGACAGCCCUCUGGUUGGAGUAAGUGGUUUUGGCCAUCUAGUUCUUGUUCUUUGGGCUGGAAGAACUAUUGGAUGUGCUACAGGGAUGAUUUAUGAUUUGAACUCUCUCUUUCUGAUGGUUUAGUGGAGAAAAUGUAAAAGUUCUGAGUAGCGCUACCCAGGAGUUUUGUUUUCCUUGGGUUUUAAGUUGAGGUGUUAGUGAAGGGUGUUCUAUUUUCAGAUGUGCUUCGGCUCAAAGAUGUGUGGUGUUUGGAGAAUGCACGGAGAUCAUCCCUGCAAUUACAGCGAUCCUCCAUGUAGGUAUAUAUGGCUUAUGGAAAGGGAGUGUUUAUGGAUAACCACUCUAUGAUGAACAUAAAAUGACAAGCAUAUGACUGAGUUAUAAGUGAUGUCAUUUUAAUCCUGAGGAGUGGGUCAGGGGUUUAGAGUAGUUUUGAAGGUAAUUCUUACAGGUACAAAUAAAUUUUUUUUUUUAAUCAGAGAUCGAACCCAGGGGCACUUAACCAGUCCCAUUUUUGUCUCCACAUCUCAUGACCUAUCCUGAGGAAUUUGAUUAUCUCCAAGAGUGAAUGCAGGUAAUUCUUCAAAUGGGAUCUCUGAUUAUUUUAUCGCAAUUGUUCUCCACAAAAAGGAGGGCAGAUGGUCAAUGGAGCUGUGUUGCCUUUUUGCUCCAUCCACCUUAUCCAUCUUGUUCCUCUUGGAGCAAUUUUCUGGGGGAGGGAAGACAGCAACCAAUAGUCAAUUGAUUCUUGUAAUGAUGUGCUCUUCUCUCAUCCGUGUAUCAACUGUCAGAUGAUUUGAAUCAGUAUGCUGAUGAUCUGUGAGGUACAAUGGUAAAUAGCAUGUUAGAGUUCUGAUGGCAGUUGUUGAUAAUGAAAAAAAAUGUCCAUCCUAAUACUUUGAAAUAACCACAUGUUCCUCUUUCCCAGGGUUUCCUGAUAACGACAAAUUUUUCCAUUUUAUGGUAAGUUGCUUCUACUAAUAGCUAUUGUAAAUUAUGUAAAUAAGAGCAUAUUACUGGGCUGGGGAUGUGGCUCAAGCGGUAGCACACUCACCUGGCAUGCGUGCGGCCCGGUUCAAUCCUCAGCACCACAUACAAAGAAAGAUGUUGUGUCUGCCAAAAACUAAAAUAAAUAUUUUUUUAAAAAGAGCAUGUUAUCAUUUGUAGGGUGGCUUUACCAUCAUGGUAUUGGUUAAAGACUAUAGUGCCAGUAAGAACAAACAUCUUGUCUUAACUCCCUGCUCUAGCCCCAGAACGAGUAAUGGUGAACCCACUGGUGUAGCUGGGAGAGAGGAAGGAAACUUGGUUCCAUGAGGAACUACAUGAGGUCCAGCAAAUGGCAAUAAAUAGCCUUUGCUUUGCUUGUCAUUAAUAGUAGCUGGAUAUUUUGAGUACUUUGCUAAUUUAGUGUGUUUUUCUGAUUCAUUCAGGAGCAACUCAUUUCCAUAUACUGAUGAAAAUACUCCAGCAUUAGCAGGUUAGUAGGAUUUUUUCCCUAAUUCAUGGCUUAUGCCACCAAGUUUCUAUGAUGACCCAAACUAGCUCACUAUGAUUGACAAUGAAAAUAUAUGAACACCUGAGAAACUGAAGGAUAGAGAAGUGGGGCAAUAUCCUGAUAUGCCACAUAUACAUAGUAUUUUACCUGUUUUUAAAUUUUUCAGGUGCUGUUACCAAUGUCUACUUACUGGUUCAAAGGUGAGUAAUUUCAGUAUGUGUUAAGUAUAUAUAGCAUAUUGGGUAGGAAAAAGUGCCUUUUAGGCAAAUAUACAUGAUGACUUAUGGAAUCUCGUUCGGCUGAUGUUUUGCUGUUGAGACUCGGAAAUCUGAUUUCCUAGAAAUAAUAGGUGGGGAUAACUGAGGCAGGACAUAAGCAUUACUCAUUUGAUCUUGUUUGUUUCAGGUCUAGCAUCUUGUCUGGAUUCCAAGAAUGAUUUGAGGUACAUACCUUUGCAAUAUUUAUGCCUAUCAUGUAGCAUCAACUUUAUGGUCUGUGGUGGUACUUUGGUCUGAGUAGCCAUAUUUGGAUCACCAGUGGUGAAUUCCUGCUCACCAGUGAUGAGUUGAAUACCGCCCCAGUCUGAUCAUUGUGACAGAAAGGUACACUCUGAGUUGUGAGCUCAUCUUAACAGUAAGCAAUAAGAAGAUGGAUAGGCUUUAUAGCCAAUAACUUUCUAGGACUAGGUUUCUAUGAAGUGUGCUUUUCCUUUAAGCAAUAAAGAGAUGACUUAAUUCCUAAUCUCUUUCCAUUACAGAGAAAGCAAGUCAUAUCUGCCUAACUUCAACCUGAAGUUAAAGGUGAGUGGACUAAGGUGAAGGUAAAGUACAGUAAGCUAAAAAUUUCCCAAUGAAGAAGCAUUUCACACGUCUUACUUCCUGUCCUAGUCCCAGAGCCUGUAAAGGUGAACCCACUGGGGCUGGCUGGGG
RNAcentral lists this long non-coding RNA (2459 nucleotides) under Marmota monax (woodchuck). The record is from RNAcentral. Lineage: Eukaryota; Metazoa; Chordata; Mammalia; Rodentia; Sciuridae.